This is a long non-coding RNA of Gasterosteus aculeatus aculeatus (three-spined stickleback), 14116 nucleotides long. The record is from Ensembl. NCBI's taxonomy places the organism in Eukaryota, Metazoa, Chordata, Actinopteri, Perciformes, Gasterosteidae.
CCCCCCAAACCAUCCCCGUCCCACCCAAUCUCCUCUCGUCACUCUUCAUUAAGGAAGCGGGUGCGCAUUUUCUCAGUUCCCAAUUCUUUCAGCGCUACAACACACUCUUUCCCUGUCCGAUUAAGCACACUAACAAGCUUAGCAGGUCUGUGAAAGCCAGAUUUACCGCCGUUCCUCAAGGCUGGUAAUUAUUGGCAGAGCACACUGUAACAACUCUGGUUAUAAAAGCGCUUACUGCCCUGUCACGGUCCACCUCCCUGCUGACCUCCCCACCGCCAUCUCUCCUUCACACCCUCUCUCUCUGUUUCUGGCCUUUUCUCUUGAUCUCCUGCUCCUUCUCCUCCAGUUUAACUCCAGGAUUCUCAGCAGCGCCAAAGAGUUCCAGAGAGAGAGAGAGAGAGAGAGAGAGAGAGUGAGAGAGAGAGCCCUCUCUUCAUCGAGGGGGGAAAACGCUGAGAAUAAGUCAGAGUGAGACAGGAGGCCAUUGUAGGGGGCUGGCCUGGGGACAAGUCAGCCAUUCAGAUGCGGCCAGCCGUGUACAAUGGCUAAACUAACAUCGUUGACAUUUGGAGUUGCCUAAGCUUUAGAGUGAGGGGAAAAGGGAGGAGUGGAGAGGUUGCCAUCGGGAGCGAGGAGACGGGUGAGCGGAGCAGUGUUGGAAAAGGCCCUUCAGAGGCACCGGCCAUUGAUCAAAAAUUCAUGUCAGCGGUUGGGAUCAGACCAGCGUGCCCUCUUAAAGCUUUCAUCUGCUGGAGAAAUGGGGGGGCAGGGGGAGGGGGUCAGAGGAACGAUAUGGAGGAGGGGAGGACAUUUGAGAUAGGCACCUUUUCAAAACCCUGUCCCUAUGGACCGGGCUGGGCCUACAACACAAGGCCACCCAACUGUGUGAUAGAGAACAGGCCACUGCUUGAUCAAAGCACUCAGAUAGCACUGCUUGUUACACACUAUUGCUUACCAUUAGGGUCACAGGGCUUUGAUUAAUGAUAAAGUGGGCAGCCAAGUGGCCUUUAUGGCAGCUACUAAUGAGUCAUUCAACUGCUCUUGACUGAUAUGGAUAUGGCCUUGUAUCAGUGACAGUGGUGCGCCAGAAGGACAUUUUCUGCUGUUAAAAUUCCUGAGAAAAGAUUUGGUUGCACUGAUUGGACCCUUUGUCUGGAGAGACAGUUAAUAGCAGUUCCUUCAAAACCUUUUGAUACGUCUCUUUUUUUUAAGCUAGAUAAUCAUGGAUAUUUAUAUAUAUUUAAAUGUCUUGGGCAUUAACGAUCAAAGGCUUUGCACGGUCCCAUUGCCAAGCUGAAAUGUUGACGUUGUGCUCUUGAGCAAAGAAAUAUUUUUUGGGUAUUUCUUCUAUACAGACAUUUUGGGUCCCGUGAAACCAGGCGUAGAGUUUACGUUUACACUUGUGUAAAACAUUGUUACGCUUGUUAUGCAACGUUAAGGAAGCACAUUUGCUAAGGGCUGUUCUUAUAUAUUUAUCAUACAAGAUAAGUAUGCAUAGCUCUCACCAAUGUUACCCAGAGAUUAAUUGGAAUAACUUAAAGAUUGACAGAUAUUUUAAGUUUGACAUUUCAAUCUUUUCGGAAUUUAGGUUCCUCAAAAUAAUUUCAAACACUUUGUUGUGUUCUGUGGUUCCAUGGCAGUUUCAGUUAUAGUUGUUGCUCAACUAUUUGUAAAAUACUAAACUUAUUAUGAUUAACAUACUAGACAUCCUUCUAUAAGUUAUUCCUCAAGCAUGUUUUUGGGAAGGAUCACCUGCUAGCGGCAGGCGAUGGACGCUCGAUGAAUGUACUGUGCAGUGAAAGAAUGUUGACUGGUUGGUUGGAGGGUUUGACUUUAGGAUCCAAAUUUUAAUCAGAGCUUCCACGGAGCCAAGAAUUUGAUGUGGUUUUACCACCUUUUUAACCCACAGUUAUCUGGUCAAACAACUAGCAUGGGGGCUGCUGUGGUCGAAGUCUUGCAGCUGGCAACAGCUCCCUCUCUCCCUCUCUGGAGGGUACAGUAAAUGGUUCUCCAUCAAAACGCCACAUCAACACGCGACUGCCUGAUGACGUCCACAGGCUGAGGGGGAAGCGCGUGAAGGCACCCACUUUGUUUAAAGAAGCCUGUGCAUGCGGCUACAGGGGUAAACAGGGCCGGACCACCUACCCUGGGCUGCCGUCCUUGCCAGCCUAGAGACAGAGCGGCGCGGGCGUGGUUUGAAGAACAUGUAACCCCUCUUGGGCCGGGUUGUGGUACGUAGUGAUGGUCCUGACUAAUCUGCCAGCGUAUUAGGGCCCUUGAGGACAACGCCCCCCUCUCUUCACUCAUGCCUGUGAUUCAGCAGGAGGAACUCAGUCACUUGAAUGCAACAACAGCUGCUAAAAGCAACAAACUGUGAACCUGAUAUAUACUCUGAAGGACUGACCCCUGCUCGUGAAUCAGCCCCUGGACAGGAGGUACUUCAGCAUGGAACAGAGGGAACCUUGCAAUGCCCCAUAGAUCCCUGUGCCUAAACACCAGGGUAUUUUUGGGUCACACGAUGCAUCAAAAGGUCUCCAAAUGUCUCUUUGGCACAGAGGGGAUCUCUUCAGGUUGAUUUAAAGCAGAUGAUGUUUUGUGGCGGUUUUUGGCUCUGAAAUUAUAUUUUUCUAUGCUGUCGGGUUUAUUUUGAAUCCAGUCAUGGACUGUGUCUCGGCAUGUGUUCAAAGAUGUAGCCCAACAGCACUUCCCAGACUGAUACUUUUCAAAGGAUUAAGUUGUUGAUGUGCUGCCAUAGCUGUGAGUGUGUUUGGACAAGAAGUGAGGCGUCCAUCCAUGUAACAUUCGCGGGGAUGAAGACAUACGCAUGCUGUGUGUACUGACAUUAACACAUGCUGCAACCCACAUGCCGGGGGCAAGCGGUUCCUUCGUCAUGCAUUCCAAGGGUCCAUCGCUUUCUGACAGCUGUGGGGGCCCGUUAAUACCCCAAUCGCCAAUGUCAUUAUGACUCUCUUAAGAUCUGAAGCACACGCAGCUCCUGCUGGACAAAGUCGGGCCUUUCUACGCAGCCCUGGAGAUCCUGGAACAGACAGUAGAUUUAUUCGGGCAGGUGUUCAGCUCACCUUCUGGGUCCCGGGAUGUUGAGGGCACAGAGAGCGGCGUUCCCCUUGGAAAACAGAUAAGGUAGCGUUACAAUUGACACUCGCACUGUAUACAAUCAAUAAUCAUAACAUGUCACUGUGCCCCCCCCCCCCACCUGAGCAAAGGCCACUUAACCCAACCGAAUUCUACAUACAGAGAUUUGUACCGUUAAAUGUUUUUUAGUUUCGCAGAUGUUAUCAAGUGUUUUCAAUCUGUUUGUGUGCCGUGAUUUUAAUGUGCAUUUUCAAUCCCUGUCCGUUAAAAUCAACGGACGACCUCAGUGCGUUGGCAUUGGCAAUUAAAAAAACAUUUUGAUAAGCAACAUAGAGAUUUUCUCCUGCGAUUUCACACAUGACUGAGGGUUAAAUCUUCCACAAAAGGCAGACAAUGUGUGCCACUCUCUGCACAGCUACACGUUUUGCUUCACUGGUGGCAGGUCUAAACUAGCAACAUGAUGUUAUUAACAAAAAGGAAAUUAAAUAACCAAGAAACAAUUUGUGAAAACAAUAUGCUCCAUUGCAUUCUCCAAAUAUAGUGUAUAUUAUUUUAGACAGGAAAUACACACCCGAUCAUUGUAGUUCCUUUAAGCACAGCUCACCUUUGACAGCGAACUUUGCUGACAUCUCUGGUAAAAUCAACGGCCCUGACUGAAAACAGCACGCCCGUUUCUGUUUUUCAUCGGCACAUGAAACAUCACUCUGAACAGAUCAGAGAAACAGGCCUGAAGCAGUAAGAGGGAUCAGACAUAUCUCUCUACCUAUCCUCCCCUCUUGUCUCCGUUCAUGCAGACUGUCCGUCCUCAACUGCUAUGGCCCUGCCGGGGCUGUUCCCAAGAACAUAAUUCAAUUGUCUUUGGAUCCACAGGCGAUGAAUAACCUCUGAAUAGUAAAUCAGUGCCGUGGCGUCUCAUCGCUGGACUAGAGCAAGGCUACGACGGGUCCACAGGGGCUAAGAUGGAGAGAGACGAAGCAGGCUCCUUUCCAUCCCGUGCUGGUGCAAAUCAAAAGAAAGAGCCCCUCCAAAAGGCUAAGCAUGUGCUCAAGUCAUUUGAGGCCCUGUCAAGGAAUUGCAUCCUUGAUUCCCAUCCAUAUAUUGACAGACGAGACAAAUCAAAAGUGUCUUUCUGUCUCAAGCACAGCUUCUCUCGGCACUGGUCACUGGUUGCCAAAAGUGUGAUGAAACACAGCCGAGCAGCGUGCUGAUGGAUGAGCCUGUCAAAAUUCGGUAUCUUUUUUUUUCACAUUAGGACACAUGACAGUGUAAGGCGUCAGCGAGAGGGUAACACACACGCAUCUGAUAAAAAGGAAAUAGAUACAACACAAGACAAUGAAGCCAGCACUCACUUCAUUUAUAAUACAAAACUACAGAGCACAUAUAGAGCAUAUAUAGAGCACAAAUAGAGCACAUGCAGGAAACAAAAGAUUUCUUGGCCACCUUAAGUAUACGUGAGCAUGUUUGGACCAAUAGCUUAAUCUAUAUGUAAAUAAGCGUGUUUGCGUGUUUGUGUAAUGAAGGAGUUGUCUUCCACCAGCAGCUGUUGGUGUUUUGUCAAAAUAAGUUGGUGGGAAUUUUAAUGAGCUGUACAAGGCCCCAGCUGGGUUACAGGUGGGAAGAAGGCACAGGGGGGAUUGGGGUUGAAGUAAGAUCGAAACCCCCAGACCCGUCGAGGACGAAGCCUCGGCCUCGGCCCAAAAAAUUAAUCACAGCAUGGUGAGUUUUGGAUGAACAAUUAACCAAAUGCUUAUGUUCCUCAUCAUACAGGCUCAGUGUAACUGAUGGGAAUACUGUUCUGGCUACACUCAAAGGCUGCAGACCUUCUUUUUCUUUUUUAAAUAUUUUCGAUUGCUAGCAUGGGUCAAUCCACUGACCAGAAUUAACAUACGCUCAGACAAAUAAUGUUGUUUUUUUUUCAAGCUUGUUUUUAAAAGUACAUGAGGCAACAGAAAAACUUAUAAAAGAAAAGCAAGCCUUACAGAGUGGCAAUUACCUCAGCUCUUGGCAUGGGCUCUAAUUAAAACCAAGCUUGUUUCCUUCAGUGAACAAACAUGACAGGCGCUGAGCAGAGGAGCUUUUUUUCCUCCCCUGCCAAAAUAUUAAGUGAGUGCAGGUGCUCAAGGAAUGUCUACAAAGGAGGGAGCAAGGCAAAGCUGACCCGUUACUCUCUCUCUCUCUCUCCAUUGUGCAUGAGUCUCCAUAUGUGUGUUUACUAUGUAUUUGUGUAUGUUUUUUUCUCCAAACCCUGACUGUUUUCAGGCGUGCUUUGGUUGCACAGCAGAAGAGCACACCCAGUUUUUCCCAGCGCCCUUUCCGCAGCUUUGCUGUGGUAGAAAACUGAAGCAAAAGCAAAUGAUUGUUUUGUUAUUGGGUAGCGGCUGGGGGCUGCCUUAAGCAGGACCAGAUGCAAGGGUCCCGGCAGCUCCUGGGCCUGAUUUAGGGAGACUCCGUAGCCCCGGUGGAGACUCUGACACAAUUCACAGAGACUUGGCAGGAGGGUCAAUUUCCUCUCUGCACCCCUUACACCACAAUGAACACAACAGCACCUGAUCACUGUCCUAUAAAAUGUCUCUCUGGGAAACAUAUACAUCAGAGAAGACCACAAAUGGAUAUAUCAGUAACACCUACAUACGUUUUGUGAUAUCCAAGUAGAGGAAGAAUCUCGUAAUUUUGCUUACCUCACCGCUUCAAGCCAUUAAAGCGUUGAGUCGGCUACAUAAUUGCACCCCAAGAGAUCUUGCUGUCCGACAUGAUUGGAUUCAGGACUUUCUGCCUGACAGACACACUCUCUAAUCACCACUGCACCCCACUUCCCUAAUGAUGCUUCAUAAUUCAUUGCUAAUAUCCGUUCAAGGCAAUAACUCAUGCUCAUUAGAGAAUUUGCACAUUUGAACAGUUCCGUCCUGGAGGUUUGCACUCGCUGUAGCAUAUCUUGCAGCUGUCAGGGGUGGAUGGGAUGCAGGUUAGAGGAAACACAGGCCUGCAGGUGGGGUUUGAUAUUUUGGCAACUUCCUGUAAGUCAGACAUGCUUCACUAAGAGGGCGAUGGGUAGAAAGGGACACCUGGUCCAGAUUGACACCUUGGGGCCACGUAACCAGGUGAGCUGCCUCAGGACAUCUGCCUAAAAUGAAGCUUUGGUGCAGGACGUAACUGGAGAUUUUGAGCUGUUUGAGUGAGUGGACAAAGAUUUUUUGAAGAAGCUCUAAAGAUGAUAAUUUCCUGCUGUCAUUGCUGUGUUAUCAGCUGUUCUUAGGUCACAUCCGUGAGCAAUUAUUUGGACAUCCGUCCAACAGCAAAGCGCACGUCUACAUUGUGAGCCUGUCUUCUCGCUUCUCCUUUUAAAUUAGAUUCUCCGUUAUUCUUGCUUUAGUGCGUCUAUGCUGCUGUUACACCUCUACAUCACCGCCCCGGCCUUUGCAGGUUCAUCGUGUCAUCAUUUCAUCAGGAAGAUCAUCAGCCACCACUAGAGGGUUCAUGGACGACACCUUGUGAUAAAACAUCUCCCAGAAAAACUCAUUCCCAAAUGGUAACACUGGGAAAUGAGGAUCGCAUUGAGGGCCAUGGACAUACAGGACAUACAUACUGACAUGCUUUUUUAAAUUUUAAAUUAGGUUGAUUAAGGUUGCGUUUGUUAUGCUCAGCCUCCAAGAUGCACCCCCCUCGUCCUCCCUCAAGAAAGUCUUGAUAGUUUAAGUAUCUAUAUAGCGCCAGAUCCCAACAGAAGUCAUUUAAGGUUACCUUUCCUAUAAAAUAAGUCUUUACCCUUUUCUUUUAUUGAACAGACUAAAAAUGUCUACAUGGUCUCGCGCUUACAACGAUGUGUGUACACACACACACACACAAACACAUCCGCCCGCACACGGGAGAGCACACUCCCACCGGCCGACAGAGAGCGUGCGCAUUGGAAAAACUGCCCGUCCAUGCAUUAAACUUUGCUUCUUCAUGGCAAAUUCUUCAUUCUGCUUUACUAUGUUUGUGAUGCUGCUGAGGAGGCCUGCGAGGGGAAAGUCAGUAAACAUGAUGUCAUAUCUUGGAUUGAUUUGGUUUUACUGAUCACACCUUUCUUCAUCACAAAGAGAAAUCUGUGAAUUGAAAUUGACCGUCCCUUCAGGACGUGUCUGCUCUGCCCUCUCUGGCUGUGGUUAAAUGCUGGCACUCCUGGUCACGUCUGCCUCUCACAUUCCUGCUGAGUCCCACCUCACAGGGCCAGGCCUCCUGGCACGGCACUGACGGGGAAUUUUCCACAGGUCGACAGUGGGCUACACACAGGACUACCUUUGUCUGUGCCCGCGCGCUGCCCACUUCUCUGCAGACCAGCUCUCUCACUGGCGCACACACGGCAUCUGCCAUCACAAGGACUCACAAAUAUAUUCAUAUAAACAGAGACAUUAAGUGAGGUCCAGAUGUAGGUACUGUAGCUUGGUAUUGAAUCCAUGAAACACACAGCUUAGUCAUAAAUGUGCUUUCAUUAGACUGCACCUUGGCAUCUUUUAAAUGGUAAAAAUGCUGAUCUCUUUAUAAUCACGAAAGACAAUGCACAAUGUGAAAAGCAUAAAAUAAAUGAGGGUUACACGAUGUGGUCGUAGUGUGACAUCAUAGUUGGCUGUACAGAUAAGAAUCUUCUUUCUGUCCACAUAAAGUUUGUAAAUCAUUACCAGGUGCAGCAGGUCUGGUCUGAACAUACAGGUACAAGAAGAUAAACCUGAUUUAGUAGUUAGCAAAGAGAGAUAUAUUCCUCUCUCGAGCACUAAGUUCUGAUUUUGGCAAGGAUGUGUCACUCACACAAACAAACAGCCCAUAUAUCUGGCACCAUGUUACACACACACGCGCAUAUUGAAAAUACUGCCACAUUAAAUAAAAUGUACUUCUGUACUAAUACACUUCACCUGGUGUGUUUGAUUGAGAGCUGUUCAUAGAAAUGGGUCAGUACUUAUUUGUGAUAAAUCACGUCAUUUCAAAAUAUCCUGGCUUCAAAUGUCUGUUGUGUUGGUCUUACUCCCUGAUUUGAGUGUGUAUCAGGUGCUUGUUUUAAGAGAUACGAGGUAAUUGUGCAUAAAAAUCUCAUUUUGGUCAACAGACGUUGCUGAAAGUAAAAAUUCAUCAGUGAACAAUAAUCCAGCAACAAACAUGUUAGUAUUUAGCAUUUUAGUCAGACCCAGCGUGCCUCCACUGUACAGCUCAUGAACACCUUUUAAAACUAUCCAGAGGUACAAUAAUGCUCUUUGCCAGCACCACCAUAUGGGAUUUGAUUGUGUCUCCUCCCUGGAGCUCAGCCGUCCCGCGGCUCCACACACACACCUGCUUCCCUUGUGCAGACAACAUAAUGCUGACGGAAAAAUAAAGCAUUAUGGUGUGUUUGAACAUCUUAUAAUUGGCAAAAAAAAUGUAAUUACAUUUUAAAUCAAUAUAAUAUAAUUGGUGGACUUUCCUGUAUCUGUCUGCAGCCCUCGUAAAACAAAUUGAUGACCUUCAUACUUGGUAGUAAAAAUAUAUUGCAAAAUGUGUUUAUGAAGUGUGUAAUGCAAAGUUGUGCAACAAAUGUACCUUACUGACAAUAUGUCUUAACUUUUUAAAGCAUGUAACUAAUUAAAGUUCUAAAUAUUUUGAAAUGAUAACAAUGUGCAGUGUGCGCUGAAACCCGGCACACCGGGUUAAAAUUGGUUGUCAGUGCUUAGUACAAUUUGACCUGAUGAGAGGGGCUCAGGGAUUAUUCCCAUGUAAAGACGGAAGCUUUACCCCCACUCCCCAUUUGUCACCCGCCGGGCCGCACUGAGGCCCCCUGGUGGUGGGGUAAUUAAAGUACCAUAGCCCGGCCAAGCUGCAGUAAUGCUCCCAAAUCCACAGAGAAUGACCGGAGCCGUGGGUGCUCCUAAUCCUGUUUGCGUCCAUCGGGACCAACUCCAGUCCCAGCCGGAAGAUGGGGAGGUCGAGGACAGGGGACAAUACCCCGGCGGGAGGCAGAGGGAACGAGGGAGGGUGGGAAGUUGUGUGAAGGACAGCGAACCUGUAUUCACCCUCACUCCAUGUCUCCCUCGGUUUCACUGCUUUUGUUGGUGAAAAAAAAUCUGCAGAACCUCCCUCUUGCCCCAUUGUGGUUGCAUAUCUGACAGGCUCAACAUCCAUUUGCUUUAUUCACUGGGUUAAUAGAAGAGGAAGAGAGAGCAUGGCAGUAAACUCUGCAAGUGAACUAGCCAAGUGAGGUUAAUCUUCAUUUGGACUCAAGUCCCGCAAGUGUUUCAUAAGUCUCAGGUCAUAAAAAUCUAAUUUGUAAAAAUCAUUCGCCCUCUUUUAGUGAGCAGAGAUUUACCUCUGAGAAUAACCUUGCACAAGUUCAUGGAUUGAGGUAAUGGAUAUUGUGGUUUGAAUACCACCAUCUGACCUACACUAGAUUAUCCCCUUACCAUUUGCUUUCAAAGCACAAUUUGUGUAGCCUUGCAUGCCCUGCCCUUUACUCAUUACUCAAACUCAUGAAAUGCUCUCCCACUGGCUCCCCUGCUCAUAUGGACAAUAAUCCCCUGCCAUGAGAAGACGGAGUAAUGGAGAUAAAAGGGCCAAGUGGUAAUCCAGGCCUCAGGUUUGUCCCUCUCAUCUGUCCUCUCUUCAAAAGGUUCGAACAGCCCAGCACCAUCCCAAAAAUCCAAUUCUUAGUUAACAAACCCAGCAGGAGACAACAGAACGGACUCUGUGCACAGCAACAUGCUCAAAUUAACACACAAACUGUGAUCUGCACCUGUGUGCAAACACUGUCUGCAGUAUGCCUACUCGUUUCUGACAAGGCUGCUGAAAGAUUUAGCAAAUAUCCAACUACGCACCGGCAUGAGGUCUUUGCACGUUGUUCCAUGAUGUGAUCUCCCCAAUGCGCAGACACAACACUCUGUCUCACCGCGACACCCUAUUACAGCAUGUGACACAACACGUCACUGCUAAGGAACCUGCCCUCUAACUGACUGCACUACAGUAUCCAGCAGAAGGUUGGUGAGAGUAAACAUUAACUCUGGUACACAUUCUAGAAUUUGAUUGAUUUCGUAUUGAGACAACAUCCGAUUUGGGAUUGCAAGCUUGGGAACAAUCCAUUAAUCCAAUGAAAAUCCUACAACAUGAGUUGUUAGCAUUCUACUGCACUGCCACAACGUCUCCCAUGGACACUAAACCAUGCACGUUUUGCAGAGGUAGCUCUGAGAAAGAAUGCCGCUUAGAUAUUUUAUAUGUUCAUGCUGUUGUUUCAUUAUAUUUGAUGAUACCUCACAACUUUGAAAGUUUGUUUGCUGGCUACAUUGUUUAACUUUUUUUGUGCACUGGACCAGAGCCGCAGGAACGAAAAGGCUCAGCCGUGUCAGAUCAACGAAAGCGCUCUGACCCUUCAUUCCUAAUUCCAGCCUCUACGCUCUGGUUCCUCUGGUCAGAACAAAACAUCACAAGCAUCAUUUAUUCCAACACCCCUCUGCAAUAAUGGGGCAACCCAGUGCAAUUUGGAAUAACCAUAACUGUCUUAACCACUUAAUCCCUGAACCAUAAACCAUAAACCUUUUAUGCAGAAAACAAUAAUUCACUUCUAGGGCAAACAAACCCAAACCUUGAGAUUUUUAUUUUUCUUGAUGGAGAGUUAACUUGGCCAGCAUCUGCACUGUUUUUCAGGUCCAAGUAAUCCUGCAGUCUGUGUCCAACAGGGUGGGGGAGGAGGGCGGAGUGGCGAGCUGCUGUAAGAGAUGGCCGGUUGGCAGUUGGCUUCAGGCUGGUAUUCACUGCAGCUGGCCAGAGUAAACGGUGCCUGGCAGCCCAUCUCCACACCCUCCCUAGACACCCCGCUUUCUCCUUGUGUCACAUUUUGCUGACACUCCAAACAUUAAUGGAAAACAUGUGCUCACAUGAGGAGUCAAAGGGGAGAGAAGUGUACACAGGGCUUUAUUGUUCCCACACCGAGGGAUACAUAAUGCUCGCCGCCUUUUAUUCAGACUCAAAUCCAAACUGACGCGUCCAUGUUCGUCUGAAGUUCCGGAGUAAUUGUCACAUAACUAUUCCAGCUUGUUGCGUUACGUCUAAGAACACAAAAAGGCUUUGUGCGAGGGGCCACAAUCGGCCCACUUCUUCAGGAUAUCCCAGCGCUUCAUGUUUGACUGCAAAAUGAAAGUAGAACGUUUAUAAGAAAUAAGAGAGGAAAUGCAUUGAAUAUUAAAUAUGUCAAAUGUAUUCAAACUGUUUUGUUUGUACUCAAAAAGAUUUGCACACCUGACGUACCACCCUGUAAUGUAUUUUUUUAUUUUUGACCAAAAAAACAUAUUUGAGCAGGAUAUUAAAGGAGAACUUUAUUCCCAUGAUGAAGCUCAGCCUUUCAACCUCUUCAAAGCACAACGAUUUACGUUAGUGAGGAUCUCUCUCUCUCUCUCUCUCUCUCUCUCUCUGCAGCAAAAACCAUACAUUCCAGAAGAAAUCUCAGAAUCAACAGGCAUGAAAUUCAUUUCUCACAUGGCCGCAUCUGGGCCUCCUAAUCAUAACCUGUUCUGACAAUUCAAUCCAGCACUCCAUCGCCUUCUCCCUCCUCCCCGACUGACUCACCCCAUCUGUCUCACCAAAAACUCCCUCUCCUCCCGCCGCCUCCUUCCGCCUCUCUAAUUGCAUUGCUCCAGCCCCCCACCUCAUUAGUCCCAACAGAAAAAAGCAAUUAACAACGCCAACUGUAAUUACAGUAAUGGCCGUAAGGUAUCUAGUGACCUUGUUCCUUGCCACGACUUCGUCUAGCAAACCUCCGUCCAGCGCACCCACCUUCGUGCCUGUGUGCUGUGGGGGAGCAUGGUGUAGGGAGGCUGGAGUACCAGAGGGAGGGUCAGGGUGUCUGGACUGACUGACUAAUGUCUGCUCAAAGCUGGUGGUUAGUCUGUGAGCGGCCCAAUUUGCCCCCAAAGCAUGAUGCAGAUGCUUUCAAAAGAAAUUCAGGUACAAUAUAAGUAUAAGUUAGUCAGUCAGUCAGUCAGUGAUCUUCAAAGGCGCUUAUUCUUCAUACAGCGUCGCUGGAGUCAAUCCCAGCCAACGUGGGGCGAGAGACGAGGUUCACCCUGGGUUGGUCAAGGUGCGUCCAAUUUUACAAAAUACAACUUUGUGCACGAAAACGAUGGCAAGUAGGAUUAACCAAAAUACAAGUUUCCAAUCUUUAACACUUAAUCUUCAAACCAAAUAGACUAUACUGAGUCCUCGUUGUCGCCGGCUGAAUCACUGGCUCCGGGCAGUAGAUCUCCACUCAGUGGGAACCUGACAGCGCAACUGUGAAACACUAUGUUUACACCUCAAGCUUAUUAAAUGAAUGGGAAAAACCACUGAAACAAGCAAAACCAGAUUACUGUCGCAAAUAUUUGAGCUAUUAAGCUCAUACACUCUGCUUAUAUAGGCCUAGAUUUGUACUGAACCGAACUUGAACCAGCAAAGUGCCGCCACUUUGUUUUGAAAUGAGGCAAGCAUACUGCGCAGUCAAUCUUCUAACUGAAAGAAAUGCAUUUAAGACGCAGUGUGAUUGGUAAUUUAUGUUUAUAUUUGUACUACGACUUGCACCUCGACAUGAAUACAUGUCGCGUGGUGCCGUGUGAGGUUGCUCCUGCAAAGUCAAAGUCAUGCUGUACAAGAACGCACACUACAAAGCCUGAUGAAAGGCUGCACGCGUCUGCUGGUGUGUCUGUACAGUUGGUGUUUGGUAGCGUGCGUCACUGUAGGCCAGGUUUAGGGUGCUCUGGCAGUUCUGUGCUCCAGGCCCCUGAGUCCCUGGAUUAAUGCCGAUAGUUUAGCAAUGACUCGGAGCUCUGGACCACACAAGGAGAGCGAGGGGAACGCCGGCCUGCUUUGGGCAGCAGGAGAGGGAAGCACUGGGGAGUCCGGAGGGAGCUUCUCUCACGCUUUCCUUCGUUCUCCCUCAUCCUUCACCACAUACACAAAUACACUUUGUCCGUCACUCUCAAUCUUUGUGCUUCAUUUUUCAUUCACCCUUUGAAAACCAACGAGCUGUACUCGUGCCUCUGCUCUCCUGGGGUUGAGAUGAAACGCCAUGCAUCCCUGAAUACAGCCAUACCCACCCUGCUCAGCGUGUGUUAAUGUGUGGCUCUGUGUAAGUGCAUCUGAAGGUGUGUUUGUAGUGUUCUGUGGGAAGUUUAAAGCGCUGUUCGGGAGGCGACAAAGAGCACAACAAUUCAUCAAAGAACACAGACGCUGGCCUUUAAUUAGCUGAACUGUCAAUAUGCGCCUCGCCUGAUUUUGGUUCUCGUUACCGGAUGGCCGGUGCUUCACAGCCGCGUUUAAUCUUGGCAAAGACCUUUCUGUACACAUGGGGGAGCGUCCCAAACAAAUUUAUUUGCUACGUAAUCAGGUCAGCCAGUGAGUCAGCCAAAGUCUCCCAUUUCAUCAAAAACAGAGGAGGAUGCUGACGGGGAAUUCUCCGCCUACGCAGCUCUGAAGCUCUAAACGAGGUGAGAGAAAAGAGAGUAAAAUACAAAAGAUGUCAAUGACAGGAGACACAAGACUGACAGCUGUGUUUGCAGAGCGUGGUGUGGGAGGCUGGUGCCCUGCGGAUUCCCUCCAUCCAGAAAAUGUCUCCCAUGACCUGCCCUGAUGAUCGCUGCGACUCGAUAGCGUUCAUCUGGGAGCACCUUAUAAAUCAAGAAGAAGCUUAAUAUCAAAUGCUUUUUACUCACUGUCUGGAAUGACUUAACUCCCGGUUCAGGACGGUUGGUUUUGGGUUCCCAACAGACAGACCAAGUACAGUGUGUGUGUGUGUGUGUGUGUGUGUGUGUGUGUGUGUGUGUGUGUGUGUGUGUGUGUGUGUGUGUGUGUGUGUGUGUGUUGGCAAUGCAUUGAGUGUAUUGAUGGUGAAGGGGGCAAUCUGGGGGUUGAGCCACAGAUCCUGUUUUAAAUAUGAGAUGAAAACAACACAACACAGAAAACUCUCAAGGGUGUGAGUUAGUCAUGUUUGAAAGUGGGGUGCAUGGGGGAUUCCAGUGGCAUGUGUGUGUGUGUGUGUGUGUGUGUGUGUGUGUGUGUGUGUGUG